GAUGAACGCUGGCGGCGUGCCUAAUACAUGCAAGUCGAGCGAACGGACGAGAAGCUUGCUUCUCUGAUGUUAGCGGCGGACGGGUGAGUAACACGUGGAUAACCUACCUAUAAGACUGGGAUAACUUCGGGAAACCGGAGCUAAUACCGGAUGAUAUUUUGAACCGCAUGGUUCAAAAGUGAAAGACGGUCUUGCUGUCACUUAUAGAUGGAUCCGCGCUGCAUUAGCUAGCUGGUAAGGUAACGGCUGACCAAGGCAACGAUGCGUAGCCGACCUGAGAGGGUGAUCGGCCACACUGGAACUGAGACACGGUCCAGACUCCUACGGGAGGCAGCAGUGGGGAAUCUUGCGCAAUGGGCGAAAGCCUGACGGAGCAAUGCCGCGUGAGUGAUGAAGGUCUUCGGAUCGUAAAACUCUGUUAUUAGGGAAGAACAUAUGUGUAAGUAACUGUGCACGUCUUGACGGUACCUAAUCAGAAAGCCACGGCUAACUACGUG
RNAcentral lists this ribosomal RNA (497 nucleotides) under uncultured bacterium. Its description in RNAcentral is "partial 16S ribosomal RNA". It matches the Rfam family "Bacterial small subunit ribosomal RNA", at positions 28 to 507 of the family's 1533-position model. The record is from RNAcentral.